RNAcentral lists this ribosomal RNA (497 nucleotides) under uncultured bacterium. Its description in RNAcentral is "partial 16S ribosomal RNA". It matches the Rfam family "Bacterial small subunit ribosomal RNA", at positions 28 to 507 of the family's 1533-position model. The record is from RNAcentral.
GAUGAACGCUGGCGGCGUGCCUAAUACAUGCAAGUCGAGCGAACAGACGAGGAGCUUGCGCCUCUGACGUUAGCGGCGGACGGGUGAGUAACACGUGGAUAACCUACCUAUAAGACUGGGAUAACUUCGGGAAACCGGAGCUAAUACCAGAGGAUAUAUUGAACCGCAUGGUUCAAUAGUAAAAUACGGUUUUGCUGUCACUUAUAGAUGGAUCCGCGCCGCAUUAGCUAGUUGGUAAGGUAACGGCUUACCAAGGCAACGAUGCGUAACCGACCUGAGAGGGUGAUAGGCCACACUGGAGCUGAGCCACGGUCCAGACUACUACGGUAGGGAGCAGUAGGGAAUCGUCCGCAAUGGGCGAGAGCCUGGCGGAGCAGCGGCGCGUGAGUGAUGAAGGUCUUCGGAUCGUGAAACUCUGUUAUUAGGGAAAAACAACUGUGUACGUAAAUAUGCACGUCUUGACGGUACCUAAUCAGAAAGCCACGGCUAACUACGUG